UCGGGAAUUUUGGGCAAUGGGGGAAACCCUGACCCAGCAACGCCGCGUGAAGGAUGAAGUAUUUCGGUAUGUAAACUUCGAAAGAAUAGGAAGAAUAAAUGACGGUACUAUUUAUAAGGUCCGGCUAACUACGUGCCAGCAGCCGCGGUAAUACGUAGGGACCAAGCGUUGUUCGGAUUUACUGGGCGUAAAGGGCGCGUAGGCGGCAUGACAAGUCACUUGUGAAAUCUCUGGGCUUAACCCAGAACGGCCAAGUGAUACUGUCGCGCUAGAGUGCAGAAGGGGCAAUCGGAAUUCUUGGUGUAGCGGUGAAAUGCGUGGAUAUCAAGAGGAACACCUGAGGUGAAGACGGGUUGCUGGGCUGACACUGACGCUGAGGCGCGAAAGCCAGGGGAGCGAACGGGAUUAGAUACCCGAGUAGUCCCUGAGCGGGCUGGCAAGGCGCAU
Molecule: ribosomal RNA, 447 nt
Filed under: uncultured bacterium
Lineage: Bacteria
Description: bacterial SSU rRNA
Rfam family: Bacterial small subunit ribosomal RNA
Source: RNAcentral